This 1079-nucleotide unclassified non-coding RNA is filed under the name Hevea brasiliensis (rubber tree). The record is from RNAcentral. Lineage: Eukaryota; Viridiplantae; Streptophyta; Magnoliopsida; Malpighiales; Euphorbiaceae.
GAUAAGACUGAGAUCACCUGGAAAUGAAGCGGAGGUUAAUGAUGAGGAGGAGGAAGAUGAGGGGAAUGGGUCGAGUGAGAGUGAUGUCGAAGAACAUGUGGAGGUGGAAAGGAGAUUGGACCAUGAUUUGAGUAGGUUUGAGAUGAUUUACCCGACUUAUGGAGGUGGGGAUUGAACUUAUGGAGGUGGGGAUUAUAGUUAUAAUAAUGUUUUGGAGAAUAGGGUGGAUGAUCAAGAUACCCAUAUAGCACAAUUGGAAGAAGAGAAUUUGACACUGAAAGAGAGGUUGUUUCUGAUGGAGAGAGAGUUGGGGGAUUUGAGGAGGAGGUUGCAGUUCUUGGAGAGGCAUCAAGGUCAGGGAAGCAGCGUUUUGGCUGUUGAAGAUGUGAAUGAGGAGGUUGUGGAAAAUGUUUAUGAGAAUGAUGAAAAUGAGAAUGAGAGUGACGGUGGAUCAGAUGAUGGUGCGACUGGAAAUGAGAAUAAUGGGGAGGUGAUGGAGUAUGUGAGUGGGAGUGGAGAAGUUAGGAGUGUUAGAAAUGAUGUUAAGGAGAGUCGUGAUGUUUGUAUGCAAGAGACUGUAUCUUAUAAUGUCGAAAUUGGGAAAGACGUGAUCGAGAAUAAAAUUGUAGGAAGUGAGUUUGUAGUUAGUAAUGAAGUAAUUGAGAAGGAGGAUGACGCAAAAGGUGAAGAAGUGAGGAAUGAUGUCGAAAUAGAAAAAUUGAUUGCAAAGGAGGAGGAGAAGGAAUUGUCUAAGAGUGAGGGUUUUGGGAAUAAGAGGCAAGACGAGGUGGCGAAAGAUGAGCAGAAGGAAUGAAGAAUCUAACAUAGGGAAGAGCAUUGGCAGCGGUGACUAAUCUAAUUGUCCCUGUUAAUGUAAGUCUCUUCUCUGAAUAAAUAGAACAUUUUACCUGUAUCUUUGCGCAAUGGAUAUAUGGCGCUUUAUGUAGAUGUAGUUUGUUUUUCUUUUCGUUUGUGGUUUUAUAGUUUGUUGGUCAAGGGGGAAUUUAGGAAGAACUGAACUAUAUUCUCUAUUUUCCCCUACUUUGGCUUAACAAAUGUAGGAGGUAGUUUAGUAGUUC